GAUGAACGCUGGCGGCGUGCCUAAUACAUGCAAGUCGAGCGAACAGACGAGGAGCUUGCUCCUCUGACGUUAGCGGCGGACGGGUGAGUAACACGUGGAUAACCUACCUAUAAGACUGGGAUAACUUCGGGAAACCGGAGCUAAUACCGGAUAAUAUAUUGAACCGCAUGGUUCAAUAGUGAAAGACGGUUUUGCUGUCACUUAUAGAUGGAUCCGCGCCGCAUUAGCUAGUUGGUAAGGUAACGGCUUACCAAGGCAACGAUGCGUAGCCGACCUGAGAGGGUGAUCCGCCACACUGGAACUGAGACACGGUCCCGACUCCUACGGGAGGCAGCCGUAGGGAAUCUUCCGCCGUGGGCGAAAGCCUGACGGAGCAACGCCGCGUGAGUGAUGAAGGUCUUCGGAUCGUAAAACUCUGUUAUUAGGGAAGAACAAAUGUGUAAGUAACUAUGCACGUCUUGACGGUACCUAAUCAGAAAGCCACGGCUAACUACGUG
This 497-nucleotide ribosomal RNA is filed under the name uncultured bacterium. RNAcentral describes it as "partial 16S ribosomal RNA". It matches the Rfam family "Bacterial small subunit ribosomal RNA", at positions 28 to 507 of the family's 1533-position model. The record is from RNAcentral.